AUUUAAAUACAUCCCAUGUUAAGGUUUAAC
This is a non-coding RNA of Clostridium tetanomorphum DSM 665, 30 nucleotides long. NCBI's taxonomy places the organism in Bacteria, Bacillati, Bacillota, Clostridia, Eubacteriales, Clostridiaceae. The record is from Rfam.